RNAcentral lists this ribosomal RNA (409 nucleotides) under uncultured bacterium. Its description in RNAcentral is "bacterial SSU rRNA". It matches the Rfam family "Bacterial small subunit ribosomal RNA", at positions 354 to 777 of the family's 1533-position model. The record is from RNAcentral.
GUGGGGAAUAUUGGGCAAUGGGCGCAAGCCUGACCCAGCAACGCCGCGUGAAUGAAGAAGGUCUUCGGAUUGUAAAGUUCUGUGAGGAGGGACGAAGGAAGUGACGGUACCUCCAAAGCAAGCCACGGCUAACUACGUGCCAGCAGCCGCGGUAAUACGUAGGUGGCGAGCGUUGUCCGGAAUGACUGGGCGUAAAGGGAGCGUAGGCGGCUUGGCAAGUUAGGAGUGAAAUCCCGUGGCUUAACCACGGAACUGCUUUUAAAACUGUCAGGCUUGAGUGAUGGAGAGGAAAGCGGAAUUCCUAGUGUAGCGGUGGAAUGCGUAGAUAUUAGGAGGAACACCAGUGGCGAAGGCGGCUUUCUGGACAUUAACUGACGCUGAUGCUCGAAAGCGUGGGGAGCAAACAGGA